AGUAAAGUUAUUUAAUAUUAUUAUAUUAUAUAAGCUAUGUAUAUUUUAUAUGGUUUUUCAGAGUUGAGUUAUGAUACUUUUACAAGUAUCACCAUCAUGGUGCUAUUAGGUUUUAAGCCAUUGGAUCUACUUUUUGAUUAUUAAUAGCCCUUGGAUUAAACACUAUUCCACCUAUCACCACCUACUACUACCUACCACCAUCAUCUCAACCUCACAUCUCUCCAUCCAAGGGCUAAAAACACACAAGUAUCACUCCCAUGAUACUUUUACAAGUAUUCUAGCCCUACUCUGGUUUUUCAUAAUAUUAUUCGAUGAGGAGUUAUUAGAGUGUCACAUCUGGAAAAAAGAUAAUAUUUUUUUUGU
Molecule: long non-coding RNA, 363 nt
Filed under: Ananas comosus (pineapple)
Lineage: Eukaryota; Viridiplantae; Streptophyta; Magnoliopsida; Poales; Bromeliaceae
Description: long non-coding RNA (ACOM_LNC000304)
Source: RNAcentral